RNAcentral lists this long non-coding RNA (217 nucleotides) under Monodelphis domestica (gray short-tailed opossum). RNAcentral describes it as "lncRNA (ENSMODG00000045597.1)". Lineage: Eukaryota; Metazoa; Chordata; Mammalia; Didelphimorphia; Didelphidae. The record is from RNAcentral.
UUGAGGGAUAUUAAGGGAACAGCCCUGGCUGGGACGAGUUGGGCGGGGGGGCGCUAGAGAGAGAGGGACUUCUUUCUCCAAGUUAGCUCACUCCUCAAAAAUGCAGGUGUCAGAAAGUUUUCGGGUAGGCGCGCCUCCGGGGGACAGCUCCCAGUCUGACCUAGGCAGAAAAGUGGUGAGAACUCACAGCUGGGAAGCAUCAAGAAAUCAGAUUUGA